UGGGGAAUAUUGGACAAUGGGCGAAAGCCUGAUCCAGCCAUGCCGCGUGUGUGAAGAAGGUCUUCGGAUUGUAAAGCACUUUAAGUUGCGAGGAAGGGCAGUAAGCGAAUACCUUGCUGUUUUGACGUUACCGACAGAAUAAGCACCGGCUAACUCUGUGCCAGCAGCCGCGGUAAUACAGAGGGUGCAAGCGUUAAUCGGAAUUACUGGGCGUAAAGCGCGCGUAGGUGGUUCGUUAAGUUGAAUGUGAAAGCCCCGGGCUCAACCUGGGAACUGCAUCCAAAACUGGCGAGCUAGAGUAGGGCAGAGGGUGGUGGAAUUUCCUGUGUAGCGGUGAAAUGCGUAGAUAUAGGAAGGAACACCAGUGGCGAAGGCGACCACCUGGGCUCAUACUGACACUGAGGUGCGAAAGCGUGGGGAGCAAACAGG
This 429-nucleotide ribosomal RNA is filed under the name Pseudomonadota bacterium. Its description in RNAcentral is "Proteobacteria bacterium partial 16S ribosomal RNA". It matches the Rfam family "Bacterial small subunit ribosomal RNA", at positions 355 to 776 of the family's 1533-position model. Lineage: Bacteria; Pseudomonadati; Pseudomonadota. The record is from RNAcentral.